Molecule: ribosomal RNA, 460 nt
Filed under: uncultured bacterium
Lineage: Bacteria
Description: partial 16S ribosomal RNA
Rfam family: Bacterial small subunit ribosomal RNA
Source: RNAcentral
CCUACGGGAGGCAGCAGUGAGGAAUAUUGGUCAAUGGACGAGAGUCUGAACCAGCCAAGUAGCGUGAAGGAUGACUGCCCUCUGGGUUGUAAACUUCUUUUAUAAAGGAAUAAAACGAGGCACGUGUGCCUUUUUGCAUGUACUUUAUGAAUAAGAAUCGGCUAACUCCGUGCCAGCAGCCGCGGUAAUACGGAGGAUCCGAGCGUUAUCCGGAUUUAUUGGGUUUAAAGGGAGCGUAGAUGGGUUGUUAAGUCAGUUGUGAAAGUUUGCGGCUCAACCGUAAAAUUGCAAUUGAUACUGGCAGGCUGGAGUACAGUUGAGGUAGGCGGAAUUCGUGGUGUAGCGGUGAAAUGCUUAGAUAUCACGAAGAACCCCGAUUGCGAAGGCAGCUUACUAAACUGUGACUGACAUUGAUGCUCGAAAGUGUGGGUAUCAAACAGGAUUAGAUACCCGAGUAGUC